RNAcentral lists this unclassified non-coding RNA (477 nucleotides) under uncultured Fusarium. Its description in RNAcentral is "sequence contains ITS1, 5.8S rRNA gene, ITS2". The stretch from base 151 to 304 matches the Rfam family "5.8S ribosomal RNA". Lineage: Eukaryota; Fungi; Ascomycota; Sordariomycetes; Hypocreales; Nectriaceae. The record is from RNAcentral.
CCGAGUUAUACAACUCAUCAACCCUGUGAACAUACCUAAAACGUUGCUUCGGCGGGAACAGACGGCCCUGUAACAACGGGCCGCCCCCGCCAGAGGACCCCUAACUCUGUUUUUAUAAUGUUUUUCUGAGUAAACAAGCAAAUAAAUUAAAACUUUCAACAACGGAUCUCUUGGCUCUGGCAUCGAUGAAGAACGCAGCGAAAUGCGAUAAGUAAUGUGAAUUGCAGAAUUCAGUGAAUCAUCGAAUCUUUGAACGCACAUUGCGCCCGCCAGUAUUCUGGCGGGCAUGCCUGUUCGAGCGUCAUUACAACCCUCAGCCCCCCGGGCCUGGCGUUGGGGAUCGGCGGAAGCCCCCUGUGGGCACACGCCGUCCCUCAAAUACAGUGGCGGUCCCGCCGCAGCUUCCAUUGCGUAGUAGCUAACACCUCGCAACUGGAGAGCGGCGCGGCCAUGCCGUAAAACACCCAACUUCUGAAU